GGGUGAGCAAAAUCAACUCUUCGUCCACUCGCACUUCUUUUGGGAGGGUUAUUUAUAUUCCUCGAGAAGCUCCCGAAAGCAUUGACUAAUUGCUGAAGGAGUCAGUCACAUGCUUUGGCUAAAGGGCACGAAAAAUCCCACAUCUGCUUGGAGAAACUGUGACUUGGGCAGAGGGGUACAAGCUUACCCUCUUGCAUUCCCGUAAAUACGAGUUUGUCAUGUUUUGCGUGCAGACGGUAGCAAAAACUUUACCUUGAUACAUUUCCUGCUUGGCAAAUCCUCUCCUCUUGAUCUCUGCUUUCUUUUAUGUUUCUCAGUCCCUUUCUUUCUCCACCUCCUCUCUCCCUCUCUCUCAGCUUCUGUCUUUCACUUCGCAUCCUGUGCCAAAGUGGGCAGGGAGAAAGAGCUCGUGGUGAGGCGGGUGAAGCGGAGGCCGCUGUACGUGCUCUUUCUUCAGCCACAACCCCAUGGAAGAGCAUGUUUGGUGGUAGCAAAUUUUUAGGUCUCUCUCCUCGAGAUAGGCGUACUAUGUGCAUGAGUCUACUCUUCUCGCCGCCAUGACCCUGCCUUGUGUUCUUUGACGUUGAAGCCUCUAGUCUGCAGGAAUCCAGCAGUGUGCUGUCUGACUAGUUGACAUCUGUUCUGCUGUCCUUGGGGCUGAGGUAGUAGAUUGAAUAGUUGUGGAGCAUGGUGCUCUCUCACUGAGAUAACUAUACAAUCUACUGUCUUUCCUAAGGCGACAGCCAAAUCAUCCACAAACAACAUGGACUCGUUUGAAAUAACCACCUCACACACGUCUGCAGCCGAAGAGGAUACUCAAUCACAUUACAGAAGUAAAAUGGCGAUUGAUGUUUCAUGUUGACUUCGUAAAUACGCUAGUGUGUCAGCGGAUGUGUGUCACGGGACUGCACUUUGGUGUCUUGACAGGGUGAGGUAGUAGGUUGUAUAGUUUGGUGGGAGGGAUCAAACCCUGUUCAGGUGAUAACUAUACAGUCUAUUGCCUUCCUUGUGGUACCAACUAUCUGCCCACUAGGGGAAACUCCCUGGAGUUUAAAUAUUGUUAAACCCUAUGGUCACACUAUAUGAACUAUUUAUGUGAAAGGAGUGUUUCAGUUACAGUAUUCACACUGCCCACUUAAACAAAGCAGCAUGUGUAAUACACAAAUAUGUUGAAAAUGCCCUAUAAACCUAUUUAUCAACACAAUCUUCUGCAGGAUAGACUUUUGUGAAGAAGCCAAGUAAUGGAGCAACCUCCCAACAAAACAAACACUUUCUCUUCAGUAUCUCUGACUGUGUAGAUUAAUAAACAUUUCGAUGUAGAACCUCAUGUAAAUUACACUGCUGUUCAAAAGUUUGGAGACAGUAAGAUUUUUUUAAAAGAAAUUUCAAGGAUGCUUAAAAGCGACAGUAAAGACAUUUAGAACAUUACUAUUCAUUAAAGAAAUCUGGGGGAAAAAAUACCACUAAAAUAUAAAGCAGCACAACUGUUUUCAACAUUGAUAAUAAUCAGAAAUCUUUCUUGAGCAUCAUCAUAUUAGAAUGAUUUCUGAAGGAUCAUGUGACACUAAGACUGGAGUAAUGAUGCUGAAAAUUCAGCUUUGAUCACAGGAAUAAAUUGCAUUUAACAAUAUAAUCACAUAGAAAACAUAACAUAAUUUUUAAUUGUAAUAAUAUUUCACAAUAUUACAGUUUUUACUGUAUUUUUUUUUAUUAAAUAAAUGCAGCCUUGGUGAGCAGAAGAUUAAAAUAAAAAAAUUAAUUAAAACAUCUUACCGACCCCAAACUUUUGAAGGGUUAGUUUUGAUUUAAUUUCAUUUUAAAAGUUAUGGUCAUUAUUAAAUUCAGAAAUCACUUUAUUUUCUGUAGCCUAGUGUAUACAACAGCAGAAGCACCUUGAGUUUGAAAGCACAACACAACUCUUGAGGCCCGUUCAGACCAAGGACAAUAACUAUAACAUAAUGAUAUAGUUCUAAAUAUAAUUCUAAAUAUAAAAGAAUAGCAGAGUCCACAUCACAACUAUAACAAUAACGGCACAGAGGAACGAUAUUGUUGGAAUCACUUUCAGAAUGAUUUUUCGAACUGAUAAACAAUAAAAACACUGACAGCCAAUCAGAGUCCAUCCUGACUUUAAAGAACUCGAGAAUUCAAAGUGACAGAUGACAAAACUGCAGAACAAUAUUGUCUGCUGGUGUGGACAUUUAUCAUUACAGUUGUCGAUCUUGGUGUGAACGGGCCUGUGUGUGUGUGUGUUGUGAAACAAGCCUAACUUUUUACCUAACAAGCCUGAACAACAUCUGUCUCUGUCAGCUUAACAUGCUGAUCUAGCAUUACAUAUGAAGAGAAAAAUCAUAUUAAAUGAGAUUUACUGAGCUCAGAUUUAUGGCUUAAUCAAUCAUUUAACUGUUCUGUUGGCUUGUGAUCAAACAGGAUUUUCACACAUCAUAACAGGAAAUUCAGUUUCAAUCAGACAAUGCAUCAUAUGGCCUUGUUCUGUGAAUGGAAAAAUAUAUAACUGCACAAUAUGCAUAAUAUGUUCCUGUUCUAUGAAUAAAAAAGUUUUAUUCAA
Long non-coding RNA from Ctenopharyngodon idella (grass carp), 2566 nucleotides. RefSeq lists it as uncharacterized. The transcript is spliced from 3 exons. Lineage: Eukaryota; Metazoa; Chordata; Actinopteri; Cypriniformes; Xenocyprididae. The record is from RefSeq and is a predicted model, not a curated record.